UUAGUGGCGAACGGGUGAGUAACACGUGAGUAACCUGCCCUUAACUCCUGGGAUAAGCCUGGGAAACUGGGUCUAAUACCGGAUAUGACUCCUCAUCGCAUGGUGGGGGGUGGAAAGCUUUUUGUGGUUUUGGAUGGACUCGCGGCCUAUCAGCUUGUUGGUGAGGUAAUGGCUCACCAAGGCGACGACGGGUAGCCGGCCUGAGAGGGUGACCGGCCACACUGGGACUGAGACACGGCCCAGACUCCUACGGGAGGCAGCAGUGGGGAAUAUUGCACAAUGGGCGAAAGCCUGAUGCAGCGACGCCGCGUGAGGGAUGACGGCCUUCGGGUUGUAAACCUCUUUCAGUAGGGAAGAAGCGAAAGUGACGGUACCUGCAGAAGAAGCGCCGGCUAACUACGUGCCAGCAGCCGCGGUAAUACGUAGGGCGCAAGCGUUAUCCGGAAUUAUUGGGCGUAAAGAGCUCGUAGGCGGUUUGUCGCGUCUGCCGUGAAAGUCCGGGGCUCAACUCCGGAUCUGCGGUGGGUACGGGCAGACUAGAGUGAUGUAGGGGAGACUGGAAUUCCUGGUGUAGCGGUGAAAUGCGCAGAUAUCAGGAGGAACACCGAUGGCGAAGGCAGGUCUCUGGGCAUUAACUGACGCUGAGGAGCGAAAGCAUGGGGAGCGAACAGGAUUAGAUACCCUGGUAGUCCAUGCCGUAAACGUUGGGCACUAGGUGUGGGGGACAUUCCACGUUUUCCGCGCCGUAGCUAACGCAUUAAGUGCCCCGCCU
RNAcentral lists this ribosomal RNA (772 nucleotides) under Arthrobacter sp. Its description in RNAcentral is "bacterial SSU rRNA". It matches the Rfam family "Bacterial small subunit ribosomal RNA", at positions 92 to 874 of the family's 1533-position model. Lineage: Bacteria; Bacillati; Actinomycetota; Actinomycetes; Micrococcales; Micrococcaceae. The record is from RNAcentral.